CCCACUCGCCUAGCACUUCAUGUUCUUCAAUCGUUCUUCACGCAGAUGCACGAUCGCACAGGCCACCGCGACAUUUAACGUCCAACUUUUUCCAUCACAUCUAGUUUCUUUAUUCUCACUCAUCUCUCUCUCUCUCUCUCUCUCUCUCUCUCUUCUUUCUCCAUCACCCUUCCCCCUUCUCUCCUCGUCAUUCUCAGACCAUUAAUAGUUGUAGUGUAUGUAUUACAUAUAUUUCAUAUGCCGA
This 244-nucleotide long non-coding RNA is filed under the name Carica papaya (papaya). RNAcentral describes it as "long non-coding RNA (CPAP_LNC000033)". Lineage: Eukaryota; Viridiplantae; Streptophyta; Magnoliopsida; Brassicales; Caricaceae. The record is from RNAcentral.